UACGGUCACAUCACUUUAAAACACUGUUUCCCAUAUGAUCACUGAAGUUAAGCAGUGUUGAUCCUGAUCAGUACCUCAAUGGUGACUGCUUGGGAAUAUCAGGUGCUGUAA
Non-coding RNA from Acanthosepion pharaonis, 111 nucleotides. The record is from the annotation of a GenBank genome assembly. NCBI's taxonomy places the organism in Eukaryota, Metazoa, Mollusca, Cephalopoda, Sepiida, Sepiidae.